GCGCUGCCCCAUGAACAGUCUCC
Molecule: microRNA, 23 nt
Filed under: Pteropus alecto (black flying fox)
Lineage: Eukaryota; Metazoa; Chordata; Mammalia; Chiroptera; Pteropodidae
Description: pal-miR-1306-5p
Source: miRBase by way of RNAcentral